UGUGUAGGCGGUCUUGCAAGUCAGGGGUGAAAUCUCUCGGCUCAACCGAGAAACUGCCUUUGAGACUGCAGGACUUGAGGGCGUGAGAGGAGACUGGAAUUCCUAGUGUAGCGGUGAAAUGCAUAGAUAUUAGGAGGAACACCAGUGGCGAAGGCGAGUCUCUGGCACGCAUCUGAGCUAGAACACAACGCGAGGGAGGACGGAAC
RNAcentral lists this ribosomal RNA (206 nucleotides) under uncultured bacterium. RNAcentral describes it as "partial 16S ribosomal RNA". It matches the Rfam family "Bacterial small subunit ribosomal RNA", at positions 568 to 754 of the family's 1533-position model. The record is from RNAcentral.